This 390-nucleotide unclassified non-coding RNA is filed under the name Hevea brasiliensis (rubber tree). The record is from RNAcentral. Lineage: Eukaryota; Viridiplantae; Streptophyta; Magnoliopsida; Malpighiales; Euphorbiaceae.
UGUGAUGUUGGUCUUCCUUCACAGGAGAUAAAGUUGGAAUGGGGCAAGGGCUUAGCUCAAAAACGAGAAGCAGAAGCUGAACUUAAGGAAUUAGAACUUGAGAAGGAUAGACCAUUUGCACGGACAAGGAAUGAUGCAGAACUUGACUCAAUGUUGAGGGAUAGACUGAGAUGGGGUGAUCCUAUGGCACAUUUGGUGAAGAAAAGGCAAUCUGAGAUGGUUCUUCCUGACCUAGGGGACAGCGAGAAGAUGAAGGAAUCAGGGUUCAUUAUUCCUCAGGACAUUCCACCUCACAGCUGGCUGAAAAGAGGAUUGGAUGCUGCACCUAAUCGAUAUGGUAUAAGACCAGGAAGACAUUGGGAUGGGGUUGAUCGUAGCAACGGAUUCGAG